Molecule: ribosomal RNA, 463 nt
Filed under: uncultured bacterium
Lineage: Bacteria
Description: bacterial SSU rRNA
Rfam family: Bacterial small subunit ribosomal RNA
Source: RNAcentral
GAGGAAGGCUGGCGGCGGGCCUAACACUUGCAAGUCAAGCGAUGAAUUUGCCUUCGGGAAAUGGAUUAGCGGCGGACGGGUGAGUAACACGUGGGUAACCUGCCUCAUAUAGGGGGAUAGCCUUCCGAAAGGGAGAUUAAUACCGCAUAACAUCAUUAAAUGGCAUCAUUUAGUGAUCAAAGGAUUUAUUCCCUAUGAGAUGGACCCGCUGCGCAUUAACUGGUUGGUAGGGUAAUGGAUUACCAACGCAACUAUGCGGAUCCGACCUGAGAGGGUGAUCGACACCCUUGGGACUGAGACACGGCCCACACUCCUACGGAAGGCAGCACAAUGGGAAUAUUGCACGAUGGGGGAAACCCUGAUGCAGCAACACCGCCUGAGUGAUGACGGUCUCUCGUCAUUGUAAAGCUCUGUCUUUGGGGACGAUAAUGACGGUACCGCUGAGGAAGCCACGGCUAACUAC